UUUCAAUGUGAGUGGGGACUUGGGUGGUAAUGAUACGGGUUCUAUAAAUCAAAGUUGAAAUUUCCAAAGUUGAAAAUUCCAAUUUUUUUUGUAAUUAAUAUCGUUGAAGUCGCAGUUUUUGCAUUCUUACACGUCUCUCUCUCUCUCUCUCCGUCCAGCGGGUAUCUCACACCACCAAUCACCACCGAUUACAGUCCCUCCGAUAACCACCGAUAUCUUCCGACUUGGAGGUCGAUUCUGAUUUUGAGCUCCUUCCGCGGAUUUUUUUUCCUUUGUGAGUUUCUAGGACUGAUCGAAGGAAGAUUCGCUCAGGUUUUGAGUAUGUAAAACCUGGGAAAAUUUAUGUUCAGCCAUGGGUACAAAACUUAUUAGGGGCAGACAUCUCAAGGAUUCUAAAAUUUGGGUGUUAAGAAAGGCAUGUCCUGAUUUGUUCUGUUACAAAUGGUCCUGGUUAAAAAUUUGAAAACUAGUCAUUAAAUGCUUUUUUGUACUGGUGGUAUUUUGCUUCGACAUUUGUUGAGUGAUCGCAACCUGAAUGGUAUAACCCAUGUGUUCGUUGAUGAAAUUCAUGAGCAAGGCAUGAAUGAAGACUUCCUAUUGAUUGUGUUGAAGGAUCUUCUUCUGUGACGUCAAGAUUUGAGAUUGAUUUUAAUGAGUGCUACUUUAAAUGUUGAGUUAUGUUCCAAUUAUUUUAGAGGAGCACCAACAAUCCACGUUCCGGGUUUUACAUACCCAAUGAAAGCACACUUUCUGGAAGAUGUAUUGGAAAUGACUGGAUAUAAGUUGACUUCUUUCAACCAAAUUGAUGAUUAUGGUCAAGAGAAGAUGUGGAAAACACAAAGACAGCUAGUGCGAUGGAAAAGGAAAAAUCAGAUCACUGCUCUUGUUGAGGUUCUUGUGGUGCCAAAAUGCCACUUCUGCUAUUUCAAGUCACUGCAGAAGCUUCGAUGUAUUUGAAGAAGAUGAAGUAAUAAAGCUGCCGGGAAAUAUGACAAUGCCUCUAUUAAUUACCAGAUUGAGUUCUAUAAAAACGAGGGUUUAACACCAUAUUUCCUAUAACUAGUGGCAGAUGUUCCUGAAGGCUGUGUGAUUAUAAAGAAACACAUUCCCAUCACCAAUUUGUUCACCUGUCUAUGGUUCAAUGAAGUCGAUCGUUUUACUUCCAGGGAUCAGUUGAGCUUCUCCACUGUACAGGACAGAAUAAUGGCCGAAGUUAACUGGAGCGUUGAUAUGUUUAUGGAGUGUAAAAGGCGAAAUUUCGUGAUUCAGCUCUACAGUUUUAAGUGGAGCGAGUACUAUGUGUCCGAGAUUGCCUUGUCGGUAAUAAAUUUAAAUUCUUUUUGCAUUAAAUAAAAUCAUUAUGUCUCCUUUUUGUGGAUAUCUUUGUAUAUAGUAAUUGUUCUCUCUGAAGUUAUCUUUGAUUUUACUAAUUUUUUUUCAUGAAGUUUAUGUUUGGGUCUUUUUGAAACUUCUUGUUCAUUCCUAAUGUCUGUUGGGGUACAUAACAAACAUUUGAAAGCAGCAGCUGCUAAGGUGGCAGCUUUAAAGAGAUGGAAAAGGUACCUUGUGGAAAAAUGUUAUGUUAAUUAUGUUAUUCGUUGGUACUCUUUAGAAGCAUUUAUUUUUUGAGAGUGAAAAAGCAUAUUUGCUUUCAAAAUUAAGCGAAGUACUUUAAAAUUGUAAUUAAUAGAGGCGUGAAGUUUUAAAGUGAACUAUAACUGGACAACUUAACCCUUAGCCCCCCUCCAUUGGAUUUUCCCUUAAUCCACCUCUUGAUCUUUACACUGUUAUGUAGCAUAGCCUAUAUAUAGUUCUUUCUUUCUAAUGUAGUAAAUUUUAGUGUUCCUAACUAACAUAAUUACAACUUUUAUUAUUUGUUUAGCCUCUUUUUGUAUUCAGUUUGGUUUUAAAAAGUCCUCCAAUAUGGUAAUAUAAUUUCAAUGGAUUUAACUUAAUUCCUAUGUUUGAUCGGUCUCUUAUAUAUUUAUUUUUAUUUUUUAUUUGUAUUGGCAAACAAAAUUUGAGAGUUACAUUGAAAAUUGGAGCAAAGUUAGAGAGAUCAAUUGAAAAUCUAUGGCUUCUACAUAGAUUGUUCUCUCCCUCUCUCUGAUUGUGUACAUGUGAAUUUUCAUGCUUGUAGAUGUCACUAGUUGGAUUAAGGUUUGCAUGUCCUAUUGGGUUAAAGUAACUAAAAACAUAUUAGUAGUUUGUGUUAAUAAGUUGCUAUUUAAUAUUCAUCAAGAAAUUAAUUUAUUUUAUGUGAAAAUGGGGAUAGAGCAAUCAAUUUAUUAAUAUUUCAUUUAGAAGCAGGUGCACCUUAAGGUCGAAGGCACUUGAUGAAAGAUCAAGCUCUAUGACUAUAUUGUAAAUGGGUGGUCAUUUUCUUCUCUCAAUUAGGUCAGAAAUUGCUUGGAGAGAUGCAAAAUAUGGU
Camellia sinensis is the source of this 2431-nucleotide non-coding RNA. NCBI's taxonomy places the organism in Eukaryota, Viridiplantae, Streptophyta, Magnoliopsida, Ericales, Theaceae. The record is from RefSeq and is a predicted model, not a curated record.